GGCCGGGACCCCCAAACCCGGGGCGGGAGCCGGGGUCCGUGUGGGGUUUGGGGGUGCUGGCGGUGGGGCAAUGCUGCCGCCUCGCCCGCGGUUGCGCCGCCGCCGAGGGCAGGAAGCGGCGAGCGAAGGCGCUGCACCGCGGGGCCAGGAGGGGCCGACGUCACGGAAAGGCGGCGUGGGGCUGCGGGUGGCACCGGCGCCGGCGGGGGCACUUGGGGGGGGGGGGGGCCUCCCCGCCCCCCCCCCUCUCUGCCCCGAGCACCUUCGGGUGCCGGUUCCCUGCUGCGAAAGCCUUGAGGGGUCCCCAGGGGGGCGCGGGUUGCGCCCGGUGGUGGCCGUGCCGAUGGGGGCAAGCUGCAGCCCCUUGGCCGCCCACCCCGCAGCGCGUCUGCACCCCCAAAAAUCUCUUUAUUCGUCCCAGCUCUGCCUUGUUUUCUCCCCGCAGGGCUCUGCCCUGCAGCUGGGCAGGGCUUUGGGGCUGGAGCUGGCUUCCAGCCCUCGCACCAGGGCUUUGCGCAGAGCCCACGGCGCGACCCCAGCCCCACGGCCGCGGUGGGGGGGCGCGAUGCCCCCCGGCGCUCUCCACCUUAAGAAAGCCGUCCCUCCUCUCUCUACCUUCACACCCUCGGCUCAGUUUCCCCUCCGGGCAGUUGGGUUACAAUAUUUUUAUCGGCCGGGCAGGUUUCCUGUUUGCAAUCCUCGCGCUCACGGGUGCGGACGGAGCGACCGCGGCGCUGGGUGCCCGGCACCGGCCCCGAUCCUGCCGGCUCCCGGCCACCCCUCGAGGGGCCGAGGCGCGGAAACGCCGAGCGCUGUGACCCUACAAGGCCUCUCCCAGCUCCUCUCCGCAGCUGGCCGGGCGGGGACAGCGUGGGGGGGUUCCUCCAGGGACCGUGGGAGCAGAGGCGCGCGGAGCUUUGCGCUUCCUGCUGCUUUUCCUCAGCCUCUCCCCAGCGGCAGCCGGAUUCCGGGAAAAAAAAGGGGAUUUGGGGGAAAAAAAAAUCCCCCGCACGGUUGGGUUGCAGGAGGAAGGCUGGAGCUGCGCAGGGAGGUGGUGAGGAGCACAGCGUGGUCUCGUCCCACGGGGGGACGUCGCCCCCGGAGCUGGGCAGAGUGAUGGCUGAGGACGGGGGGGCCGGGGGGGCGGCCUCCAACAGCACCCAGCAGGAUGAAUCCUCAGCAGCACUCGCCCUGCACCCGG
This 1201-nucleotide long non-coding RNA is filed under the name Anas platyrhynchos platyrhynchos (common mallard). RNAcentral describes it as "lncRNA (ENSAPLG00000024642.1)". The record is from RNAcentral. Lineage: Eukaryota; Metazoa; Chordata; Aves; Anseriformes; Anatidae.